UUCAGAUCUGACAAGCUUGUGGCAGGUGCUGCUCAGUCUGCACCUCUAGUACCCUUACAAGAGCCAGAUGUUUCAUCCUUGGGGGAGUCUUUUGACACCACAUCAUCACAAGAUUUGAUUACUGCCAGUCAUAACAUCAUUGAUGAUGGCUCAUCUAGCACUUGCCCGUCCAGAAUUGACAAGCCUGUGGCAGAUGCUACACUGUCCACAUCUCUGCAAGAUAUGGCCCUUUCGCUCUUGGACGAAAUUUUCGAUGAUAAUCCACGAACGGUGCCAGAUAACACCACCACUGAUGGCUAUCUGCAAUCAGCUUCCUCAUCUGUUGGGUCUAGCAUUUUGGUCCGCAGUUUUGUAAAUUGCUACCAGCUGUUCUACAUUAGAAUAGACCCCAGGGGCUCUUGCUGGACUUACCCUGAUGUGGGUGGACCGUUUCAGAGAGUAGAUGAAGCUGACGAUGCUAUCAAGUGCUUUCUUGAUGAACUGCAGCAUGGAGCAAGGUGCACACAAUCAGGUGAAUUUUCCCGUGUGGAUAGGAUGAUACAUGAUUGUAAACACUAUCUUUAUGGUCCACCAAAGAGAGAUCCCAGUUCUCCGAGUAGCAAGACUACCUAUGAUGAAAAGCAAUACUUGGUUCAAGCUAUAUUGGACCAGUAUAAUGAUGACAACAAACUUUUUGGGAAUCAUGCAUAUGAACUUGAAGAUCUUGUGAGUAGGCAAUUAUUUUGUGAGAAUUGUAUGUGGUAUUGUCAUUUCAAUUUCACAGCAAAACAAAAGGGAGCUGACGAUAGCAGUGGCAAACUAUUCUUUGCUGAAGUGACACAUGUGCAAAGAAGAAUGGCCUGGAAAUGGUUCAAGGUCUAUGGGUCCUUUCACAACCCUAUUUAACCCUCAAAUA
Molecule: long non-coding RNA, 895 nt
Filed under: Oryza sativa Indica Group (long-grained rice)
Lineage: Eukaryota; Viridiplantae; Streptophyta; Magnoliopsida; Poales; Poaceae
Description: lncRNA OsMH63_10G015630
Source: RNAcentral